GGAUACUGGUAACAAGAAAGAUGAAGGACCCAAGGAAAUGUCAAAAAACGAAGAUUCGAUCCAACUCAACAAGGCCCUAUCUGAAGAAAUGCAUUUCAAAGAGCUGCUUCUUUCACUAUUGGAUGUUGGCCUACAGGCACUCUAACUUCACUUGCGUUCGCAUGACUUCCUUUUUCUUAACAAUCUCCAGUGGCAUGAGAAGCUAAUUUUGAAAGGGU
This 218-nucleotide long non-coding RNA is filed under the name Coturnix japonica (Japanese quail). Its description in RNAcentral is "lncRNA (ENSCJPG00005015361.1)". Lineage: Eukaryota; Metazoa; Chordata; Aves; Galliformes; Phasianidae. The record is from RNAcentral.